UACGUAGGGGGCUAGCGUUGUCCGGAAUCAUUGGGCGUAAAGCGCGUGUAGGCGGUUCGGUAAGUCCGCUGUGAAAGUCGGGGGCUCAACCCUCGGAUGCCGGUGGAUACUGUCGGACUAGAGUACGGAAGAGGCGAGUGGAAUUCCUGGUGUAGCGGUGAAAUGCGCAGAUAUCAGGAGGAACACCGAUUGCGAAGGCAGCUCGCUGGGACGUUACUGACGCUGAGACGCGAAAGCGUAGGGAGCAAACAGG
This 253-nucleotide ribosomal RNA is filed under the name uncultured bacterium. RNAcentral's name for it is "partial 16S ribosomal RNA". It matches the Rfam family "Bacterial small subunit ribosomal RNA", at positions 524 to 776 of the family's 1533-position model. The record is from RNAcentral.